RNAcentral lists this ribosomal RNA (406 nucleotides) under uncultured bacterium. RNAcentral's name for it is "partial 16S ribosomal RNA". It matches the Rfam family "Bacterial small subunit ribosomal RNA", at positions 30 to 526 of the family's 1533-position model. The record is from RNAcentral.
AUUGAACGCUGGCGGCCGGCCUAACACAUGCAAGUCGAGCGAGCGGCGGACGGGUGAGUAAUGUCUGGGAAACUGCCUGAUGGAGGGGGAUAACUACUGGAAACGGUAGCUAAUACCGCAUACCAUCAGAUGUGCCCAGAUUGGAUUAGCUAGUAGGUGGGGUAAUGGCUCACCAAGGCGACGAUCCCUAGCUGGUCUGAGAGGCUGACCAGCCACACUGGAACUGAGACACGGUCCAGACUCCGAAGGGAGGCAGCAGUGGGGAAUAUGGGACAAUGGGCGCAAGCCUGAUGCAGCCAUGCCGCGUGUGUGAAGAAGGCCUUCGGGUUGUAAAGCACUUUCAGUGGGGAGGCGUUACCCGCAGAAGAAGCACCGGCUAACUCCGUGCCAGCAGCCGCGGUAAUUC